Long non-coding RNA from Pseudopipra pipra, 589 nucleotides. RefSeq lists it as uncharacterized. The transcript has 3 exons. NCBI's taxonomy places the organism in Eukaryota, Metazoa, Chordata, Aves, Passeriformes, Pipridae. The record is from RefSeq and is a predicted model, not a curated record.
CUCUGCCGUAAAGCGGCCGCGCUGCCCGGGCGGGCCGGCGACGGAGCGGGCAGAGUGCUGGGAUAGCGCCCUUUGCUUUCCUUUUCUUCCCGCCGCGGGCAUCCCACUCCCUCUGGGGCCUCAGCCUGGUGGUAAUCCGUGUCGUAAACGCACGGCAGCGGAGCGGCACUUAUCUAUCGCUGCCUGCAGCCCGAGCACGCGUGUGAUAGAGAAACAAGCAGCCCCUGUCGCCACGGGUGUUAUCGGCCCCUCUGUGGACCUCGUGCCUAAAGGGGUUUUUUGUGUGUUCUCCUGCUCGCUCCACAGAAGUCUGAAAACAGUGUUUCCGGAUAAGAAACGUAGGCUCUGCUCUGCUGCCUGCUUCUGUACUCCCUGGCAAGCUACUUCUGCAGCUGUAGAUGAAAUAACUGCAAUUGCCAGGAGCAGAAACAAGUCUUCCCUCCCUGAGGGAGACAUUCCAGUCUCAAAAACUGCUUUGAGGGCAGUGACAGAGGUGAGCCGUGCCCUGUAUGCAAAAUUUCAUCUUGCAUAAACUUCGGAGAUAAAGAGGGAGAGAUACACUUCAAAUGGCACAGUUCUGCACAGAAUC